GACGAACGCUGGCGGCGUGCUUAACACAUGCAAGUCGAGCGGGGUUUAUCGGAUUAGCUUGCUAAACUGAUAAACCUAGCGGCGGACGGGUGAGUAACGCGUGAGCAAUCUGCCUCAUACAGGGGGAUAACAGGUGGAAACACCUGCUAAUACCGCAUAAGACUCCACUACCGCAUGGUAGAGAAGUCAAAGGGAUUACCGGUAUGAGAUGAGCUCGCGUCCCAUUAGCUAGUUGGUAGGGUAAAGGCCUACCAAGGCGACGAUGGGUAGCCGACCUGAGAGGGUGAUCGGCCACACUGGGACUGAGACACGGCCCAGACUCCUACGGGAGGCAGCAGUGGGGAAUAUUGCACAAUGGAGGGAACUCUGAUGCAGCAACGCCGCGUGAGUGAAGAAGGUUUUCGGAUCGUAAAACUCUGUCAUUGGGGAAGAAUAAAUGACGGUACCCAAUGAGGAAGCCCCGGCUAACUACGUGCCAGCAGCCGCGGUAAUACGUAGGGGGCGAGCGUUGUCCGGAAUUACUGGGCGUAAAGGGUACGUAGGCGGCUAUAUAAGUCAGGUGUGAAAUACCAGUGCUUAACACUGGAAUUGCAUUUGAAACUGUGUAGCUUGAGUGCAGGAGAGGAAAGUGGAAUUUCUAGUGUAGCGGUGAAAUGCGUAGAGAUUAGGAGGAACACCAGUGGCGAAGGCGACUUUCUGGACUGUAACUGACGCUGAGGUACGAAAGCGUGGGUAGCGAACAGG
RNAcentral lists this ribosomal RNA (744 nucleotides) under uncultured bacterium. Its description in RNAcentral is "bacterial SSU rRNA". It matches the Rfam family "Bacterial small subunit ribosomal RNA", at positions 28 to 776 of the family's 1533-position model. The record is from RNAcentral.